UCCUCACAGGAGCAUCAGAAUAUUCCCAUCUUUCUUUUUUUGUCAUUCUCCUUCGUCUUCAGACUGUCACAGCCACUUCAUGAAGGAAAAUAUUCUUUCUUGUACAUUGAAUGUAAUUUGCCCCUUCCUGGAGUCCAUUCCCUUUGGGUUGGUGUUGGCUGAACUUUGCAGUCUUCACUGAAGGGGGAACCCUUUCUCACUGUUCCCUGGGAGAGCAGCCCCUUUGAAGUCACAGCUGGCUUGACUAAACUCAUUUCCUCCAUCCACAAUGUGCCUCUGAUGUAGUGUUGGCUAAGUCUCCCUCUUGCCGGCUCCCGCUCUUGAAACAGACCCAAGUGCAAUGUUCAAUGUGAGUGUUUGGCUUGGCUUAAAUUUGGCCGAAUCAUCUGUACUUUGUUUCAUUUGAAAGCCUUACUUUUUUUCUUUCUCUCUCUCUUUUCUCUUGCAACUAGUUCAUUCCAGAUGUUUUUGAUUUGUCUUUUAGUGGUCUACUCCACCCAGUUCCUAAAUCAGUAAAUCAUUUUCAUGCUUCUUCCAAAAUCUAAGGAAAGAAAAUGCUCAAUUAGAGGGAAACUGAUUAUAGGUCUCAUAGAGCUUACACUUGGGGAUGGCUGCUUUCCUCAGGAACUACCUUUGAAAGCCAAACUUCUCAUCAAAUAAUCUAUACUGACUCUCCAUGACUUCAGCAACAUUUCCAGUCCUUGAUGCUCUUCCAGAAUGAUGAUCCCCACCAUCCACAUCAAGAAGAGGUAUAUGUUCCUUUUC
This 765-nucleotide long non-coding RNA is filed under the name Callithrix jacchus (white-tufted-ear marmoset). RNAcentral describes it as "lncRNA (ENSCJAG00000069847.1)". Lineage: Eukaryota; Metazoa; Chordata; Mammalia; Primates; Cebidae. The record is from RNAcentral.